RNAcentral lists this ribosomal RNA (466 nucleotides) under uncultured bacterium. Its description in RNAcentral is "partial 16S ribosomal RNA". It matches the Rfam family "Bacterial small subunit ribosomal RNA", at positions 28 to 505 of the family's 1533-position model. The record is from RNAcentral.
GACGAACGCUGGCGGCGUGCUUAACACAUGCAAGUCGAACGGAAAGGCCCUGCUUUUGUGGGGUGCUCGAGUGGCGAACGGGUGAGUAACACGUGAGUAACCUGCCCUUGACUUUGGGAUAACUUCAGGAAACUGGGGCUAAUACCGGAUAGGAGCUCCUGCUGCAUGGUGGGGGUUGGAAAGUUUCGGCGGUUGGGGAUGGACUCGCGGCUUAUCAGCUUGUUGGUGGGGUAGUGGCUUACCAAGGCUUUGACGGGUAGCCGGCCUGAGAGGGUGACCGGCCACAUUGGGACUGAGAUACGGCCCAGACUCCUACGGGAGGAAGCAGUGGGGAAUAUUGCACAAUGGGCGGAAGACUGAUGCAGCAACGCCGCGUGCGGGAUGACGGCCUUCGGGUUGUAAACCGCUUUCGCCUGUGACGAAGCGUGAGUGACGGUAAUGGGUAAAGAAGCACCGGCUAACUACG